GGGUCAGAGUCUCUCACAAGAUUAUAGACAAGCUCAGACAAGACAAUAGUCAUCUCAGAGCUCCACUGGCUGAAGAAUCUUCUUUCAAGCUCAUGUAAAGGAUCGUUGGCAAGGAUCAGUUCUUCCCUGGCUCUUGGCUGCAGGCUUCAGUUCCUUGCCACGUGGACCUCACCAUGAAGUAGUCACAUAUGGCAGCUUGCUUGCCUCAUGGUGGAAGUUUGAAGAAAGGUGUGCCUGCUCAGAGGAAGGAGGACCUGACUGGAAGAGAAGAGAGGUCUUCAACCAGCUCCUGGCAGAUUCAGCUGGGUGUCCUGUAUUUCAUCUAACAACCAUAUCCUGGAGAGAACAAUGAAUCUGCCUGCUGCGGUAGAGGCUGAGGAUGGUGAAGAAGACAGCGGAAUGAUUAGGAAGGAUUUUGAAUGCCAAGUGGAGGAGUUUGAACUUCAUCUGAUAUCAGACGCAUGCUGGAGAGCUAGUGGGUUUUUGGCUAGGGAAUGACAGGGUCAGAUUCAUUUUGAGCAAUUUCCAGUUUUCUUUAACCAGUGCACCUGAGCAAGAGCACAUUAUCGUCACAAAGUAGCCUGCCACACUCUCAUUCACAGACACAUCAGCCACUUCUACCUGCUUUGCAGGUGAAAAACUGGCUAUUCCUGCCCAGGAACAUUAAGAGACUGUUUAUUUCAAUCAAUCAUUUUUCUAAAUACAUUAUCUCAUUCUAUAGCUGAAAAGUGGGAGGGGAGCAACAUCAAAGGAUUUACUUCAGCCCCAUCUAAGAAACCAAACACAUGCACCCCUUGUUCACCCUCCUCUGGUUGUCGCCCGUGGACCCAGAAGUCUCAGGCAUCUGACGCUCUGAAUGUCUGCCCAGAUGCCCAUCUCUGGAGAGAACAUGCUGAAAUGUUUGAGUUUGCACAGUUCAUUAAAUACCCUUCAGAAGAGCUCCCUGAUUCUCACAAAGGUCACCUUGGUUUCUUCUAGAGUCUGCAAAAUUCCUUUCUUUGGAGACGUUUUCUGUGUGAUGUCUACACAGGAAGAAGCUGACAGCAGUAGCUUGAAGAACCCAGUGACAGUCGCGGGGAGAGCAUUUGGCAAAAAACUGAUCACAAGAACUCUGUUCUCUGAAUCUGAUUUCAGUGAAAACACAGAGAAUAACUUUAAAUAGUCCGAUCAAGUUGAUACAAAAAUGGUGUUUAGAAACUGUUUGGACUGAUGGGAAAGAUAAAAACUAUGUGUGAAAAGACCAGAACGAGAUGAUAGGAAAAGCACUGCAUUAAGAAUCAACACAUCUAUUCCCUGAUCUUAGUUUUAGGGCUUUCAAAAUUGAGAUGUAAUUGACAUA
This 1339-nucleotide long non-coding RNA is filed under the name Equus caballus (horse). Its description in RNAcentral is "lncRNA (ENSECAG00000051813.1)". Lineage: Eukaryota; Metazoa; Chordata; Mammalia; Perissodactyla; Equidae. The record is from RNAcentral.